Molecule: long non-coding RNA, 1510 nt
Organism: Pezoporus occidentalis (night parrot)
Lineage: Eukaryota; Metazoa; Chordata; Aves; Psittaciformes; Psittacidae
Exons: 2
Source: RefSeq, a predicted model, not a curated record
GAGCGGCCAUGGGGGUGACUGCGGGCGGCGGCAGCGCAUGAGGGGAAGGACUUGCACUGCCGGGUGGUGCCGACAUCUUUUUGGCAGCCCCAGUGUUGUCAUGACACUCCCCAGGGAGAAGUGCAAGCCUUCAAACAUUGGAAGACAUCACAUCUCUGCUCAGUCUCUUCUGAGUCUGGGGGACUUACAAGUUCAGUCUUCCAGGACAUGAAGUGUUGGAGCAAGUAACAAGAGGAGUAACUCACCAUAGCACAGCCCACAGCCCACCAGGACUGACUUACCUGAUCCAUCUCAUGGAAGUAUUCUUGCUCCUCUAGCUUUUCUCCAAAGCUAUUUUUAAGGUUGGCAUCUAACAGGGCACUCACAAAUAUAGCUACAGCCUUAAUAUGAGUCAAGGAAUUACUCACAUCUUAAAGUGCUCGAAGAUGGGAAGAAGUUGUGAAGAUGGGAAGAAGUCGCAGCCAACAGCAAAACCUCCUUCGCAGCCAAGAACCACGAGUGAGUUCUGAUCUCCCAACCACCCUCGCUUGCAAGAGUAAUACCCUCAAACUGUGGUACUGCUGUGACUUACUACUUGUGUGUCUUGCUCCCAGCACUCCACAAAUACACCCGUGGUAGAGGGAAUACAACACUAAAUGCACACAGCUGUAUGAUUAUUUCCACUCCCACACAAACCCAGUUUUGAAAGGAAGAGACUUACACUCAAAUAUAUGCUUAAUUAUAUUUAUUACAUUUAAGAAAUAUUAACAUCUCAGGAUAUCUGGUUUACCAUCUAAGUCCAGUCAUAAGCAACAAAAAGAAAAGUGUUAACCAUGUUUCAAAUGAGCAUUCUUACAUUCAUUCCCCCCCCACCCCCCACCCCGUAACGUAAAGAAAAGUGUUCAGCAGUAUUAAAUUCUUAGGUGGUUGACUAAUGGAAGAAAAAAGAAUCAUUAAAAGUGUCUUUAUUACCAGGCAUCCUGGUUUAAGUGGUUGUUGGCACUUGUGUUCACGAUCAAGCACUCUGGUUGCUUUGUUAUAUUCUCCCCUUCUACCCAAAACUGUGUUUUUGGUUAUUUUUUUUAGGUUUUUUUUAAUUUUUUUUUUUAAUUUCUAUCUGAAUAUGUAAGUUUGUUCAAAUAAGUUUAGAAAGAAAAGAAACCUCGGGUUGCCUGUGAGACGUUCCUGCACUGUGUCCCCACCUCUGUGAGAAAUUCCUAUCGCCUGUGGCAUAACUGAAGGAAGAUGAUUUGCUUUCUGAAUCUUACUGAGCCAAAAGUUCUUGUGUAAGUUCAACUGAAAAAAGUACAGAAACACUGUCUCCGUUUGAUGGUGUGCAUAAACGUUACACUCCCAUAUAUAGCAAAAAUAGCUUUUAUUUAUAAUUUACAUUUCCACAAGUGAAAAUUGUACAUUUUUUACAUAGACCAUUUCAUUCCAUUUAAUUUUUCACGCAUCUAUAGAACUUUCACACAAUGACACCUGAAACUGUGCAGGCAAGUUAAAUUCAAAUACAAAAAUGUAUUUAUUA